RNAcentral lists this ribosomal RNA (301 nucleotides) under uncultured bacterium. RNAcentral describes it as "partial 16S ribosomal RNA". It matches the Rfam family "Bacterial small subunit ribosomal RNA", at positions 509 to 809 of the family's 1533-position model. The record is from RNAcentral.
CAGCAGCCGCGGGAAUACGAAGGUCCCGAGCGUUGUUCGGAAUCACUGGGCGUAAAGGGAGCGUAGGCGGCGUGGUAAGUCAGAUGUGAAAUCCCGGGGCUCAACCCCGGAACUGCAUCCGAUACUGCCGUGCUAGAGGAUUGGAGAGGUAGCUGGAAUUCUUGGUGUAGCAGUGAAAUGCGUGGAGAUCAAGAGGAACACUCGUGGCGAAAGCGAGCUACUGGACAAUAUCUGACGCUGAGGCUCGAAGGCCAGGGUAGCGAAAGGGAUUAGAGACCCCCGUAGUCCCUGUCUCUUAUAA